AUGGGAUUCAAUCCUAUGAAUCAAAGGGCCGACAUAGGAAAAAUUUCUAAGGAUUUCAAUUCUCCAAAAAUUCUAAAGAAUUUCUUUGAAUCAAAGAAGCCCGUAGUUGGCACCGUGCCUUCAAAAUGGUGUACUGAUACUUCCGUCGGUAACAACCUUGCUUCUUGUGCAGGAAUAAGUUUUUUACAGUUACACGAAACGAGGCGUGGAAGUCUGACGGCAGUGAGAGGCUACAAGUGUUCAUUACUUUGCGUCAUAGUUACUGUUGAAUUUGACAAUGUUCUGUAUGCAGAAAGAGCACGGGCGACAGAAUGUUGCAUGCCCCAACAAAGCACCCUUUGA
RNAcentral lists this ribosomal RNA (342 nucleotides) under Triticum aestivum (bread wheat). RNAcentral's name for it is "partial small subunit ribosomal RNA". Lineage: Eukaryota; Viridiplantae; Streptophyta; Magnoliopsida; Poales; Poaceae. The record is from RNAcentral.